CUGCUACAGGUGAAUUUAAUCUCCAAUCCUCCAGGUGAAUUUAAUCCCAAAUCAAAUCCCUGCUCCCUGCAACCACCUGCAGAGAAUUGAACCAGUUUAAAAGUCUUGUAGUAUGUUUAAUUUUUGUUUUUGGGGUGGUGUGUUAUUGUGUGUAGGUGCUGUGAUUAGUACUUGGAGUUUAAUUUCUUGUGGUGGAGCAGUCUGAGCAACAAUCCUCUCUGGUUCAGCAAACGGAGGAAGCUUCUUGCAAGAGUUACUACAAAAACUUAAAAGAAAAGAGGAGAGCUUUUUGUAGACUAUGAACCUUGCUAUCCAUUUUUUUUCCAAGGCAGAGUCUUCAAGUGAAACAAACUCAAGCCAAAACCAGCAUUCAGAGAAUGGAUGUUUGCUCUGUACUUCAGGAACAGAAAUAAUGAACAGAAAAACAAAACAAAGCAAAUGUAAAUGGUCCUGGCUGGAAUUGUCAGGAGAACCAGGCACUCAACAGCUUUGCAUUCAAUGUGCCAAAAGCUUCUGAGAAUCUGGCUACUGAUUCUGGAAAACUGAAACCUGCCCAUGAGAUCUGGGAGUCCUGUUAUUGGAUACCUUACUGGCAUGGUCAUUUAAUGCCAGUCUUCAUUGUGGUUUCACUGGUGUGAGCAUAUUCUCACUAACAGCAAAACUGAGAGGUGUGUUUAAUUAAAGCUACAGUGCAGCCAAAAUAGCCUCAUGAGUGUGGUUGUGUUACGGCAGAGAUGGCUGAAAACUGGAUCUCAAUAGCUCUUAUCAGAAGACUAUCAAUUUCAGUUUCCUUAUCAUGAUCCAGCUUCAACUGCAGGGCAAAAAGCUGCUGCACUUUCAUAGAAAGUGUGCACUGGAUGCCUUGUCACAGACAAUAUCAAUUCCAGCACACACUUCCCCUACCCCCAAGUGAUUUCUAG
Molecule: long non-coding RNA, 920 nt
Filed under: Cyanistes caeruleus (blue tit)
Lineage: Eukaryota; Metazoa; Chordata; Aves; Passeriformes; Paridae
Description: lncRNA (ENSCCEG00000011306.1)
Source: RNAcentral